Molecule: ribosomal RNA, 472 nt
Filed under: uncultured bacterium
Lineage: Bacteria
Description: bacterial SSU rRNA
Rfam family: Bacterial small subunit ribosomal RNA
Source: RNAcentral
UGGGGAAUAUUGGACAAUGGGGGCAACCCUGAUCCAGCGAUGCCGCGUGUGCGAAGAAGGCCUGCGGGUUGUAAAGCACUUUGGUUGGGGAAGAAGGUUGGGCGUUGAAUAGAUGCCUGAAUUGACGUUACCCAAAGAACAAGCACCGGCUAACUUCGUGCCAGCAGCCGCGGUAAUACGAAGGGGGCUAGCGUUGUUCGGAUUUACUGGGCGUAAAGCGCGUGUAGGCGGACUUGUAAGUUGGGGGUGAAAUCCCGAGGCUCAACCCCGGAACUGCCUCCAAAACUACAAAUCUGGACCUAAGUAGAGGCAAGUGGAAUUGCGAGUGUAGAGGUGAAAUUCGUAGAUAUUCGCAGGAACACCAGUGGCGAAGGCGACUUGCUGGACUUAUGGUGACGCUGAGACGCGAAAGCGUGGGGAGCAAACAGGAUUAGAUACCCCCGUAGUCCCUGAGCGGGCUGGCAAGGCGCAU